This 4089-nucleotide long non-coding RNA is filed under the name Rattus norvegicus (Norway rat). RNAcentral's name for it is "long non-coding RNA NONRATT032719". The record is from RNAcentral. Lineage: Eukaryota; Metazoa; Chordata; Mammalia; Rodentia; Muridae.
UCCAUAAUUGCCAAAAAAGGGCAAGAAUCGGAUGAUUUAUUCAAAAUUGUACAUGAAAAUUCACACUUUUCCUUAAGGAACAGGAUUGACAGUGAACAAUGCAUUGACUGGAAUGUAGAAAGCGUCCUAGAUAUAGCAUCCGUUUUCAAGGACUUCAUUAAAAACAUAGAUGGAAGCUUGCUGACAUCUGAUUUAUAUGAAAAUUGGCUUAGCGUCAUGGAUGAAGGGACUGUGGCUGGAAGAAUUACUGCCAUCCAAAGACUUUUACUAAGGAUCCCACAAGAAAAUUUUAGUGUACUAAACCAUCUCAUUUCUGUAUUAGUAAUAAUCAAAGACUCAUCCAUGAAUAAUUUAAACAGUAAGAGAUUAUCUAUCCGCAUAGCUCCUUAUGCGCUUUGGGAUCGGACUAGAAGGGGAUCAUUGUUUGGGAGUGAUAUGUCAAUAAAGAUAUCUCUUAUGCAAAUCAUGAUUGACAACUAUAUUCCAAUAUUUGAAAAUGAUAAUAAAUAUUGCUCUGAUGGACUAAAGACAUCUGCUGAUUUCAUAAAUUCUUCAGGAAAAUCACCUAUUAUGAAAGAAGUCAUAGGUGACCACAAUGGGAAAACCUGUGAUGAUGAAGAAUUUGAUAUUUCAUAUACUAUCCUGUAGGAGGAAAGUCCUAUAGCAGGACAGAACAAAACAACCACCACAUAUAAGUGGUAGAGUAUGACUGAAGACGUUCUAAGGUCAUUCUAUUCUUAUGUUCCUGUCUACCUCCCACUAAAUCAUAGCAGAAGAUAUUAUUACAAGAUCCUACUUCUGCUUUAUAUUUCACCAUAUUAGUUACAAAUAGUUUCCCUAAUUAUUCUUAUUUUAUGCUGUAGUUUAUAUAUUUGCUAUUAUAAUAAAUUUUAUUAAAUUGUGUUAUUGCUUACACUACAGUGUGCCUUGUUCAUGAUUCUCCAUAGUCUUUGGAAAAUGGCAUUUUUCAGUCUCUGCCUCUACAGCCCACUUCUAGUACUAGUUUUCCCACCUCAGUUACCAAAGUAUGGCCAGAAACUAAUGACAUUAAAAAUCUCUCAGAGUUAUGCCUCGAAUCCAGUGCCAUAAAAAACUAAAUAAAAUUCCAUUAACAAAAUUAAUCAUCACACUUGUUGAAAUUAGAGGUGGAUUAUGGUUUUUAGAAUACACAAAAUGACCUGAAAACAUAAGUGCCUUAGCAAUUGAAAUGUGAAAUUAAUUUGGGUUAUAAAAACAUACAUUAAGAAACAAGCAAAACUGGGUAUUGUAGCACCAGCAUCUCUAGACCAGAAGCUUCUACCUGGAUGGAGAGUAGAGUUGGAGACAUUAAGAAGUUAAGAGAAGGCAUUUGGCCAGAAUUUCCUGACAUGUUGUUCAGUAAUGAUUAAAAAGAGAUCUUGUGACAGAAAGAGAGAGAGAGAGAGAGAGAGAGAGAGAGAGAGAGAGAGAGAGAGAGAGAGAGAGGAGAAGAGAGAAGAGAAGAGAAGAGAAGAGAACAGAAGAGAACAGAAGAGAAGAGAAGAGAAGAGAAGAGAAGAGAAGAGAAGAGAAGAGAAGAAGAGAAGAGAGAGUAAAACGCUGGAGGCUCUUAAAUUUCAAUAAGCUGAAAGCUGCAUUACAUACACUCAGAAGUGCACAGAAGCAUACAGCAUAUUUGUUGUAUCUCUCUUCAUAACCAGAGACCUCAACAUGAAAUAUUCUUUAUUCAUGGUUUGUCUAUCUCAAAAGGGUCUUAAAUACAUUGGAGAUAUGGAAAUCUUAGAGAAAACCUCCAGUAAAAUAAUUCAUAAUUUCCAUAAUUACUGCUUCUUGGUCCCUCCUGAUAGGAGUAUUAUUUUAAGUUCAAAAUGUUUUCAUUUAUUACUAUUAUUUUUUCACUUUUAUUGAAAAUUGAUUUAUAGCGCUGUAGGCUGAAUUUUUGUCUUCCUUCCCUGCAAUCUCUAAUUCAUUUGAAUAUUGUUUUAUAUAUGUAUUUAUUUAUAUAUAUAUCUGCAUCUAAAAAUAUGAUUACGAGUUGAGAACAUUUUCCUGUGUUUGUGAAUAUGGUUUUCAUGAAGUUAAGUGUGUAUUAGACAAUCAAUAUGCAGAUAUUUGCUGGAAAAAUUAAUAUUCUGGCAGUCACCUUUAGCUGCACAUAACUUUUGAAACAUGAAAUUUUAACUAUUGCCUUAAUACUACAUUGAUACUGCUGUUAUUGUGGUUUUCCACCUAAUUUUAUGAAAGGAAAUUUCCAAACAGACUUUCAAGUAUGCUGACUUUUACACUAACCCCCCUUCUACAAUGUUCCCUGAGCUCCAGAGAGUUUAGCCAUAAUGUACAUAAAUUCACUAGUGGUAGAUUUUCCACAAUUUCCUUAUUUCUUCAUCGUUUUCUGGAAUGCUCUCCGUUUUCGGUACAAAGAAGCUUCUUUGAUGAUGGAUGAUGACCCCACUUAUUGAUGGAAAUAAUAUUAAUAUGUAGAAUGCUGUAAGGAACUUGAUGACUUAGUAAAUUUAUGUGAUAAAUAUUAAGGUUUAUGACCUCAAUAGCUCCUUAAAUCUGACUAGAUUUUUUUGUACUAGCCAUGAUUUCAAUCAUUUUGAGAGAAAUUCUUCCAAUUGUUCAAUAUUUCAAGUGAUUUUUCCCAAAAUAUGAUGCUUUCGUUAGCACUUGGAUUCCUGUCAAGUUUCGGGGCUUGAGUGCCUGUUGCCAAAUAAAACUUACAGGGAUGUCUCAGCAGGCAACUGAUUCUAGAUGGAUAUGUCUAGAAACCUCUAUCUUUAAGUCAAGUUUCUAAGGUAGGUAAAACAGUAUGUAGGUUGGCAUGUUAGGAAAGCAACUGAUAGUUGUACCCACCUUGAACACCUAUGAAAUAUGACAAUAACUAGUAUGGUAGGAUAUCAGUAUAGGUGCAAUGAGUGACACUAACAAAUCAAUUGUAACCAACUGCUCUUUGAAUAGACUUAAAUGUAUUUUCCUUUCCACAGAAUUGAACUUUGUUCUGGGUCUUCCAUUUGCUUUCUCAGAAAAAAAUGUUAUUCCAAAGUACCCCUUUAAAUUUCAACAUUUUAUGUCUUGAUAUUUCUCUUUAAGACUAUUCAUGUAAGUCCUUUCACUUGUCCAAAUCACACAAUUUCACUCCUCUAUGACAAGAUAAAUUCAUUUUCCUAGUAUAAUAUAAAAUAAAUAUAUGAUUCCUUCAUUUUUGGCUACUUAUUUUUCUUCUUUCCACAUCUGCAAUUAGCUUUCAUUGACUGUAGUCUGAAAUGUGAAAAGUUGAUAUUGCAAGUAAUAAGAGAAUGCUUUCCAUCCUGAGUUAAGUGAAGAACGUUUAGCAGUGAUGGCCUUAUUUUUGCAAGGAUGGUAAUCAUUCUAUUUCCUAGAGUUUCCUUAAAGUGUGUGCUGCCCAUCCCUAGGUACUUAUCAACUAUUAUGGAACCAAUGGCUUGCUGUGCACAUCUUAGGUCAUACUCAAUGGAGUCUUGUUUCGUAUAGCAUUUGUAAACAAGUGGGAAAAUAUUACACAUGAAUGAGGCCAGGGGACACACAUUAGUAGUUAAGUAGUCAAAGUUCUCUUUCUGAAGAUUCUUUGACAGUAAACAAAAGUGACCCUAAAUGUUCCCUUAAAACAUUAACUGAACAAGAACAACACAAAUGAACAUGUAAAACUAAGAGGGACCUGAAACUUACACAAAGAAAUGUAGGCAAUUACAUAGUGAGCAAGUGUAUACAAUUGUAUCUAAAACAAGUGUAUUUUUUGGAUGUAGGAGAAAGAUGAAACCCCUUUUGGAAUCCAAACUGAUAGUCUGUUUAUUAUUGAUUUGAGACAGUUAAUGCUUAGCGUUAUUAAUGAGCAGUAUAUAUGAGUCUUUGAUAUUUUGUUGCCAUACUUUUCCCCCUUUUUUAAUGAAUGGGUACAGGGUUAUUUAUCACUUUUGUUCUCUUCAGUAUAUACCUUUUCUUCAGACUGCUGUUUUCCUUUUGUAGACCAAGAUUGUUAAUGAGAAAUGGCGUUCUGUUAAUUACAUUAUGUAAUGUUUCAAGAGCUGGGUAUUUAGCUCAGUGGUAGAGCGCUUACCUAGGAAGCACAAGGCCCUGGGUUAGGUCCCC